UCCAGACUCCUACGGGAGGCAGCAGUGGGGAAUAUUGCACAAUGGGGGGAACCCUGAUGCAGCGACGCCGCGUGGGCGAGGAAGUAUUUCGGUAUGUAAAGCCCUAUCGGCAGGGAAGAAGAAAUGACGGUACCUGAAUAAGAAGCACCGGCUAAAUACGUGCCAGCAGCCGCGGUAAUACGUAUGGUGCAAGCGUUAUCCGGAUUUACUGGGUGUAAAGGGAGCGUAGACGGCUGCGCAAGUCAGAAGUGAAAGCCCGGGGCUCAACCGCGGGACUGCUCUUGGAACUGCGUGGCUGGAGUGCAGGAGGGGCAGGCGGAAUUCCUGGUGUAGCGGUGAAAUGCGUAGAUAUCAGGAGGAACACCGGUGGCGAAGGCGGCCUGCUGGACUGCAACUGACGUUGAGGCCCGAAAGCGUGGGGAGCAAACAGGAUUAGAUACCCCGGUAC
Molecule: ribosomal RNA, 448 nt
Filed under: uncultured bacterium
Lineage: Bacteria
Description: bacterial SSU rRNA
Rfam family: Bacterial small subunit ribosomal RNA
Source: RNAcentral